CCCACAACCAAACAUGCAAAAUAUAUAUGGUGUCCUUUAUUCAAAAAAAAUUUGUCCUCCUAUAUUUAAUUUUUUCGACAGGGUUGGUUGGUUGCUUUGAAAGGACUUUACACAUAUGUGUAUAACAUACAUCAAAAUUAUCAAAUUAAGCUGGAAAUAGUCUGAUCGUCUUAAAUUUUAAUCGUUAACAAUCGUACAAUCACGACUUGAUGUAUGUAUAGUAGCCAAAUUCGCUGUGAAAGGGAUCCGGCCCUUUGCAGCCUAUAUAAAAAUCCAAACAAAACACACACAGUGUAACCCAUCAGUUCAUCACACAAAAACACACCAUGAUGCCUCCUCUCCCAUUUUUGGUCGUGUUUUUGCUUGCUUCCGCCGGACUGGCUCUAACACCAACCGCCGGUCCGGCUCAACUACCAUCAACCACUCCACCUCCCCACGAUCCACCACCACCUCGACCUCCACCUCCCUACGGCGGUCCACCACCACCUCCACCUCAUCACAUUCCACCACCACCUCCUCACGGUCCACCACCACCUUCACCUUAUCACGGUCCACGGCCACCGCCACCCACUUGACCUUAGCACGGUCUGCCAUCACCACCCACUCGACCUCCCCCCAAACGUCUUCUUCCUCCGCCACCGUUCGCCACCUUUUCGGGUUUGCUCUACUCAUGGCUUUUGUGGUUCCUCGUUGGUAUUUGUGUUAUUCUUCUUGUCUUGGUUGUUGUUACAAAUUUCCGGAGUCUGGCAGCUCAUGUAGGGUUCUUGCCUGAGGUGGAUGUGGAUGGGGAGGCGGUGGCGGCCAAGCGGUCAACCGUGUUGGUGUGGGAAAAUAGGAAAAUCUUGCAGUAGAUAAUCAGUGAAAGGCGAAAGCUAGAAGCAGAGAGUAAAGGAUUGUCCCUCCUUAAAGCCGCAAAGGCAGCUGCCCAACCAUAAAACCCCGAACCCAAGUUUGAGGCAGCCGCCCAACCACAAAACCCUAAGCCCUAAUCCUAGAAGGACUAUAAGGAAGAACCUUGGGUUGAUAUGGAACUUUAUAGGAAAGCCAAGACAAGCACUAAACUCAGACACUUUGUCAAGUUUGGGGGCACAAAUAGUACUAGUGGGCAGUACUUAAACUCAGGAACUCCUCAUACUGAUGAGUCAAUUGGAGGUGAUCUCCUCCAAGGCGGUGGUGACUGGCCAACAGCCUCAAGGUCCCAAUGAUACAACUUUCUUGGAAUUGUCAUGGGUUGGGGCGUGUCAUGACUAGCUAAGCUCUUAAGGAGUUAAUUUUCAAAUUCCGCCCUAUUUUUGUUUUCCUUUCUGAAACUAGAAUGAAUAAAAAAAAAGUAAAAAAAAAGCGAAUGGAAUGCAAAUUUUCUCACAGAAUCUUUGUUAAUCCAAUAGGUACCAAAGGAGGUUUGGCUCUAUCGUGGAGUGAUUGUGUUUCAGUUCAAGUACUCUCAAAAUUUGUAAACCUCAUUGACACAAUUGUCACGUUCAAAUCAGAUGGGUCCAGUGUCAGGGUGUCUUGGUUUUAUGGUCCACCGAAGAAGGAAAAUAAACCAGCAUUCUGGAAUAGCAUAAUGAGUCUUGAAGGAGCUAUCAACUUGCCCUGGAUUUGCUUAGAAGACUUUAAUGAAUUCAUCUGGCCUCAUGAAAAAGAAAGGGGAAAUCCUUGGAAUCCAGGCAAAAGAAAAUACCUAAGAGAGUUUAUGCAAGCUAACAAUCUAAUUGAUAUCCAGUUUAAGGGGCAGCAAUUCACAUGGAGCAACAAUUGGCCAAAUGGGGAACUAAUAAAAAUCAAGCUUGAUCGAAGUGUUGUUAAUGCUAAUUGGCUUGAGCGAUGGCCUGCCUCAUGCAUUUUUCAUUUCCCUAUGAUUGGCUUUGAUCACUGCCCACUAGUUAUUGACACUGAUCCCCCAAGUAAGAAAGGUCCUAAGCCUUUCAAAUUUGAGCCUAGUUGGAUUGAAGAUCCUGAGUGCUUGGAUAUUAUCUUAGAAGCAUGGUCUAAUCAAUCUGCAGACAAUCUUGCACAACAACAAUGGACAACAAAUCUCCAUCAGUGCAAUAAAAGCUUAAAGCAAUGGAGCAAAAAGUUUUCAAACAAUAGAAGAGAGAUCGAUUCCAAUAUUGAGAAGCUUCAAGUUUUACAGCAAAGUCCCAAUCCGGAAGCCGGUCAGCUUGCUACCAAUGUCACCGAUAAACUUGCAUCCCUUUGGGACAAAAAGGAAAAGUAUUAGGCUCAAAGAUCUCGGAUUAAAUGGCUGAAAACGGGAGACUCUAACUUAAGAUUUUCUCGCCUUACCACCAUCCAUUGGACGCAGAGAAAUAAGGUGGUAAAGUUAAAAAUUUGUGAGAGUGCUUGGAUGGAGAAGGAAGAGAGCAUUAGAGAUGAAUUUGAGGGAUAUUUUAAAAGCUUAUUUACUGGAGUUGGGCCAAGAAUCUGGACAGAAGCUCUUGAGGCAAUUAAUCCAGUUAUUUCGGAGGACACAAAUAUCAAUCUGACCCAGCCAAUCUCAAUUGAAGAGAUCAAGGACCAGACGGUUUUCACGGCAUAUUCUACCAAAGUUUUUGGAGGAACGUGAACGAGAUUAUUGAUAGGGCAGCAAAAGAGUUUUUCAGCUCGGGGGAAAUUCUGGAAGACCUGGAUCGCACAAACAUUUUACUGAUCCCAAAGGUACCGAACCCGGAAUCAGUUAGUCAAUUUUGUCCUAUCUCUCUGUGUAAUUAUAUUCUCUCCAAAGUUUUGACAAACCGUCUCAAACUUGUUCUGCCAUAUAUUAUAUCUCCCAUCCAAGGGGCUUUUGUUCCUGGUCGACAGAUCCAGGAUAACAUCCUAGUUGCCCAUGGAGCCUACCACUAUCUAAAGUUGAGAAAAAGUGGAGACAUCCAUGAACUAGCCCUCAAGCUUGACAUGAGCAAAACUUAUGAUAGGGUUGAGUGGGACUUUCUAGCGGCAAUCAUGUUGAAAUUAGGAUUUGGAAGAGGGUGGGUAUCCUUGAUUAUGGGUUGUGUCAAAUUUGUCACUUUUGCAGUCACCAUCAAUGGAAAAACAGGAGAGUACUUCAAACCUUCAAGGGGGCUCAGUCAAAGAGACCCCAUAUCUCCUUACCUUUUUCUCUUCACUACUGAGGUCUUCUCUUCUCUCAUUCAAAGAGCUGGUGAUCAAUGAACUCUAAAUGGUAUCUAUCUAAGUAGAUUCACACCCCCCCCCCCUUUACCCCACCUUUUUUUUGCCGAUGACUCAUUGUCUUUUCUAAGGGCUACAAAAGAAGAUUGUGAGGAGUUAAUGAGAAUCAUAAAUCUCUAUUGUGAUGCUUCUAGUUAAAGGGUCAACCUAGAAAAGUCAAGUCUUUUUUGUAUGCCAAACACCCCUGACAAUCUAGUUGAAAUGUUAAGAGAGAUCCUACAGGUGCCCUUGACUUUGAACCCAGGAAAAUAUCUUGGACUUCCGACAGUGUGGGGUCACUUAAAGCUUCUUUGUUCUUCAUCAAAGACAAACUGUUAAAUAAGUUGCAAGGUUGGAAGAUGGGGAAUUUAUCUACAGCGGGAAGGGAGGUUCUAAUCAAAUCAGUGGCAUUGGCGGUUCCUAACUAUCUGAUGCACUGCUUCAAAUUCCCGGUUACUCUAUGCAAGGAGAUUGAUGUUGUAAUAGCAAAGUUCUUGUGGGGUCAGAAGAAGGAUGAAAACAAAAUUCACUGGAAAAGCUGGGAUUAUUUGGGUAUGCGCAAAAUCAAGUGGAGGAAUGGGCUUUAAAAACUUAGAUGAUUUCAACACUGCACUCCUAGCAAAGCAAAUAUGGAGGUUACACACAGAACUGAAUUGUUUUUGGGCAAAGAUGAUGAAGGGCGUAUAUUUUCCCUAUUCAGACGUGCUACAAGCUAGGAAAGGAUCCAGAGCUUCUUGGGCAUAGAGCAGUCUCCUUGAAGGUAAGGCUCUCAUUGAAGAAGGAUCUAGAUGGAUGAUCGAAAAUGAUUGUUCCAUUGACAUUUGGAAAGACAAAUGGAUCAUGAAUUCUGAUUUGGGUUUCAUUCAUCCAAUUAUGCCCGUUUCCCAAUCUAUGCCUACCAAAGUUUCUAAUCUUAUUGAUUGGGAAUCCUAUUCUUGGAAGCUUCAACUAAUUAAUGGUCUAGUUACUGAGAGAGAUAUGCAAGACAUUGAGAUGUAGAUGUUUAGUGAUGUUCUUGUUGAAGACAAGUUGAUUUGGCCCAUAACUAAGAAUGCCCGUAACUAAGAAUGGCUAUUAUUCUGUGAAAUCCGGGUAUAAUCUCUUCCACUCCCUAAAGUCUAUGCCCACUGGACAGUUGAGUCACUCAUCUCACAAGGUAAACCAGAUUGUUUGGAAUGCUAUAUGGUCUGUCAAAACCCUCCCCAAGAUCAAACAUUUUUUAUGGCAAGCUGUUAGCAAUGCAAUCUCUACUUAUGCUAAUCUAUUCCACAGGAAAAUUGUUUUCUCCCCUAUUUGUCCAAGGUGUGCCCUAGCUCUAAAAACAAUUAAGCAUAUCAUCCUGCUCUGCCUUACUGCUAUAUGCACUUGGUUUGCAUGCUCUUUAAUUUAUAAAAUCAAUGUUCAAGAAGUUACAUCUUUUGAUAGAUGGAUUGAACAAAUUUUCAAGCUAGCAGGUCCUAAUAAGAAGCUUCAAAGUAAUUGUCUUACCAUGAUUUCCUUCAUCUGUUGGGAGCUUCAGAAGAGUAGAUGUCUGUCCAUUUACCAGGCCACCACUAUCCAUCCUUUGUUGAUUGCAUUUCGAGCAGGAAAAGCCACUAUGGAAUUCCUGAAAGCAAACAAUCAUGGUGACCAUCAUGAACGAGGUAUGACUUCUAACUGUACACACACUUCUUCCUUCCCUACUCAUACCUCCCCGUUCCCCAUUCAUAAUCCAAUUUAUUGUUCCCCACAAACCCUAGUUGUUACCAAUAUGUCACUCUCCUUCUCACAACUACUACAUCCCUCACCAAUUCCCCUCUCCACCAACACUCAAGUUCAACAAGCCUCAGAGCAUCCAACCUCACACACCAACAAAAACAAUCAUCACACCCCUUGCAAGACCUAAACCAUUCUCUUACCCACUUGUGCACUACCCCAAAUCCAUCCCACCAAAUCCAAGCAUCUCAAAUUCAUAACCACACCUUAACUAAUUCCAACCCUGCCAACCUUCCUUCAAACCUUCAUGCAUCUCACAAUCAAACCCCACCACAAAAAACCCAUCAUCCACAUUCCCAAAUUCCUAACACAAACCUUAACCCUCAAAAUCCAAAAUUCACUUGGACAAAGCCACCUAUUGGGGGCAUCAAAAUCAAUUUCAAUGCAGCUUGGGAUAGUAAAACCAACCUGGCUGGUCUUGGUGUUGUAGUGCGUAAUGACAAUGAAGCUCUUGUUGAUGGUGUAUCUCUUUAUUGCCGUUCAAGUUCGGCAAUCGAAGCUGAAGGAAAAGCCACCAUCGUUGCUCUCUCUUGUGCCCAGAAGUAUAUUCACCUCCUUGUUCAAAUUGAAUCAGACUAUGAAGAUUUAGUGAAAGGCAUUAAUGGUAUCAACUCUGAUAGGGAUUGGAGAAUCUCACCUGUGAUUGCUCGGAUUCGAGCAGCUCUCCCUCCAUGCAGGCUAAUCUCUUGGUCUUGGAUUCCCAGAAAAGCGAACUGCGCAGCCCAUCACGUUGCAUCGCUUAGUGUGAGGAAGACGUGCCCGGAUGUCUGGAUUGAUAAGCCCCUGUCUUCCCUGGUCCAUGUUCUCUCUCGUGACGGCUUGCCGUGUCCACCACCGGCGUCAAUAGCAGAGCAAAGACCGUAGUUUUCUGAAGGUCUUCUUUUCUUUUUUUGCGUCGUUGGUUUCUGCUUUCUUCUUUGUUUUUUGUUUUUCUUUCUAGUGUUGUCGUUUUUUUUCCUCUCUUUUAGGCUUAUCUAAUCGUGCCUUUAAUUGGGUUUUGUGACUAUGAAAGCUAACUUGUUUCAUUUGCUGGGCCCCAUGCCUGGUUUGUUUUCUCUGCCCUCUUGGGCUUUAAUGAAUAUCUUUUCACGUCCAAAAAAAAAGGUCAGCCUCUUGGGAUUAGUAAUUGAGAUCCCAAUAAGAAUAGCUUAAUUGGGAUCAGUAAAAAAUUUAUUUUUAUUUUUAUUUAAUUAUUUAUUUAUAUUGAUACAACAUGGACUCCUUAUGAGAAUUUUGUAUUAACCAAACAUGCAAAUUAUAAUAACAAAAAGGAAUGGCAGUAAUUAUACUUUUACUCUGAAGUAUAAUGUUAUGGCCGAAAAUGCAUGCCCACAACCAAACAUGCAAAUUAUAUAUGGUGUCUUUUAUUCAAAAAACAUUUGUCCUCCUAUAUUUAAUUUUUUCAGCAGGGUUGGUUGGUUGGUUUGAAAGGACUUCUUUACACAUAUGUCUAUAAUAUACAUCAAAAUGAUCAAAUUAAGCUGGAAAUUGCCUGAUCGUCUUAAAUUUUAAAUCGUUAAUGAUCGUACGGUCACGAUUGUGAAAGGGAUCCGGCCCAUUGCAGCCUAUAUAAAAAUCCAAACAGAACACACACAGAGUAACUCAUCAGUUCAUCACACAAAAACACACCAUGAUGCCUCAUUUCCCAUUAUUGGUCAUGUUUUUGCUUGCUUCCGCCGGUCCGGCUCUAACACCAACCGCCGGUCCGGCUCAACCACCAUCAACCACUCCACCGCCCCACGGUCCACCACCACCACCACCUCCACCUCUACCUCAUCACAUUCCACCACCACCUCCACAUCAUCACAUUCCACCACCACCUCCACCUCCCCACGGCAGUCCACCACCACUCCACCUCAUCACGGUCCAUCACCACCUCCACCCACCUCCACCUCAUCACAUUCCACCACCACCUCUACCUCCUCACGGUCCACCACCACCUCCACCUCAUCACGGUCCACGGCCACCACCACCCACUCGACCUCACCACGGUCUGCCAUUACCACCCACUCGACCUCCCCCAAACGUCUUCUUCCACCACCGUCUGCCACCUCUUCGGGUUUGCUCUACUCAUGGCUUAUGUGGUUCCUCGUUGGUACUUGUGUUAUUCUUCUUGUCUUGGUUGUUGUUACAAAUUUCUGGAGUCUGGCGGCUCGUUUAGGGUUCUCUCCUGAGGUGGAUGUGGAUGGGGAGGCGGUGGCGGCCAGGCAGUCAACCGUGUUGGUGAGGAAAACAGGAAGAUGUUGCAGCAGAUAAUCAGUGAAAUGUGAAAGCUAGAAGCAGAGAGUAAGAGAUUGUCCCUCCUCAAAGCCGCGAAGGCAGCCGCCCAGCCACAAAACCCUAAACCCAAGUCUGAGGUAGCCGCCCAGUCACAAAACUCUAAACCCAAGUCUAAGGUGGACUAUAAGGAAGAACCUUGGGUUGAUAUGAAACUUUAUAAGAAGCAAGCAGCUGCGAAGUAUUGGGCAGAAAGGCAAAGACAGUGAAUAAAGGCUUGAUAUUGUUGGGGUUUGAUAGAGCCUUGAAUUUGGUAAUUGAGUUUUGAUCAAAAUUUUGGCUUUUGAUGUUAAUCUAUCUGUUUUGAUUUUGUUUAAAUGUAGGGAAGUGUGGAUUUGGUGAGAAAGAUUGAAAAUCUGAAAUGUAGGGAUGAUAAUCUAUCCGUUUUGAAUCUAUCUGUUUCGAUUUUGUUUAAAUGUAGGGAUGUUAAAUAUUUGGUGAAUUUGGUCAUCAAAGAGAUAGAAAAUGCACAUAUGGUAGAAUACAAUACAUGCAUAGUCUUGCAGCAACGCAAUUUGAUCACACUAGCAACUUAAUCACACAUGGUAACAAUAUACACUGUACGUCACACUAUAUAUGUAAGUAAACAUGGAUUGGGAAAUUGUAUCAUAUAGCUUAUAAUAGCAGUAUGGAAAUCUUGUUGCCCUCCUAAUGACUGCAAGACUUAUGUAGCAAAGUAUUCAGACUCAACACACACCUUUGCAGUGCAGCAAUUCAAUAGCCCAAGCAUAUAUGUUUAGAUUAGUAUGU
This 7935-nucleotide long non-coding RNA is filed under the name Fragaria vesca (wild strawberry). RNAcentral's name for it is "long non-coding RNA (FVES_LNC001970)". The record is from RNAcentral. Lineage: Eukaryota; Viridiplantae; Streptophyta; Magnoliopsida; Rosales; Rosaceae.